UACGGGAGGCAGCAGUGGGGAAUUAUUGCACCAAUGGGGCGCAAGCCUGAUGCAGCAAUGCCGCGUGUGUGAAGAAGGCCUUCGGGUUGUAAAGCACUUUCAGUCGUGAGGAAAGGUAGUGUAGUUAAUAGCUGCAUUAUUUGACGUUAGCGACAGAAGAAGCACCGGCUAACUCCGUGCCAGCAGCCGCGGUAAUACGGAGGGUGCGAGCGUUAAUCGGAAUUACUGGGCGUAAAGCGCAUGCAGGUGGUUUGUUAAGUCAGAUGUGAAAGCCCGGGGCUCAACCUCGGAAUUGCAUUUGAAACUGGCAGACUAGAGUACUGUAGAGGGGGGUAGAAUUUCAGGUGUAGCGGUGAAAUGCGUAGAGAUCUGAAGGAAUACCGGUGGCGAAGGCGGCCCCCUGGACAGAUACUGACACUCAGAUGCGAAAGCGUGGGGAGCAAACAGGAUUAGAUACCCUGGUAGUCCACGCCGUAAACGAUGUCUACUUGGAGGUUGUGGCCUUGAGCCGUGGCUUUCGGAGCUAACGCGUAAGGUAG
RNAcentral lists this ribosomal RNA (539 nucleotides) under Vibrio harveyi. RNAcentral describes it as "bacterial SSU rRNA". It matches the Rfam family "Bacterial small subunit ribosomal RNA", at positions 340 to 867 of the family's 1533-position model. Lineage: Bacteria; Pseudomonadati; Pseudomonadota; Gammaproteobacteria; Vibrionales; Vibrionaceae. The record is from RNAcentral.